RNAcentral lists this transfer RNA (72 nucleotides) under Rodentolepis nana. RNAcentral describes it as "Hymenolepis nana tRNA". It matches the Rfam family "tRNA". Rfam says of the family: Transfer RNA (tRNA) molecules are approximately 80 nucleotides in length. Their secondary structure includes four short double-helical elements and three loops (D, anti-codon, and T loops). The record is from Rfam by way of RNAcentral. Lineage: Eukaryota; Metazoa; Platyhelminthes; Cestoda; Cyclophyllidea; Hymenolepididae.
UCCCUGUUGUUCUAGCGGUUAGGAUUCCUGGCUCUCACCCAGGCGUCCCGGGUUCAGCUCCCGGUCAAGGAG